RNAcentral lists this ribosomal RNA (468 nucleotides) under uncultured bacterium. RNAcentral's name for it is "partial 16S ribosomal RNA". It matches the Rfam family "Bacterial small subunit ribosomal RNA", at positions 28 to 507 of the family's 1533-position model. The record is from RNAcentral.
GACGAACGCUGGCGGCGUGCUUAACACAUGCAAGUCGAACGGAAAGGCCCUGCUUUUGUGGGGUGCUCGAGUGGCGAACGGGUGAGUAACACGUGAGUAACCUGCCCUUGACUUUGGGAUAACUUCAGGAAACUGGGGCUAAUACCGGAUAGGAGCUCCUGCUGCAUGGUGGGGGUUGGAAAGAUUCGGCGGUUGGGGAUGGACUCGCGGCUUAUCAGCUUGUUGGUGGGGUAGUGGCUUACCAAGGCUUUGACGGAUAGCCGGCCUGAGAGGGUGACCGGCCACAUUAGGACUGAGAGACGGCCCAGACUCCUACGGGAGGCAGCAGUGGGGAAUAUUGCACAAUGGGCGGAAGCCUGAUGCAGCAACGCCGCGUGCGGGAUAACGGCCUUCGGGUUGUAAACCGCUUUCGCCUGUGACGAAGCGUGAGUGACGGUAAUGGGUAAAGAAGCACCGGCUAACUACGUG